Molecule: non-coding RNA, 178 nt
Filed under: Elizabethkingia miricola
Lineage: Bacteria; Pseudomonadati; Bacteroidota; Flavobacteriia; Flavobacteriales; Weeksellaceae
Source: RNAcentral
CCGAAAUUGGUUACACUUAGACGUGUAUUAAAAGGGAAUCGUGUGAGAAUCACGAACUGUCGCGCAACUGUAAGUAACAAUACAUAAGGUUAUUAUCAACAAUAAGUUCACUGUUUAUAUAACAUAAUGGGAAGAACGAUGAUAACUGUUACAAGUCAGGAGACCUGCCUUUUUCGAA